AUUGAACGCUGGCGGCAGGCUUAACACAUGCAAGUCGAGCUAGCGUCGGCCGGGUGAGUAAUGUCUGGGAAACUGCCUGAUGGAGGGGGAUAACUACUGGAAACGGUAGCUAAUACCGCAUACCAUCAGAUGUGCCCAGAUGGGAUUAGCUAGUAGGUUGGGUAAAGGCUCACCUAGGCGACGAUCCCUAGCUGGUCUGAGAGGAGGACCAGCCAAACUGGAACUGAGACAAGGUCCAGACUCCAACGGGAGGCAGCAGUGGGGAAUAUUGCACAAUGGGAGCAAGCCUGAUGCAGCCAUGCCGCGUGUAUGAAGAAGGCCUUCGGGUUGUAAAGCACUUUCAGCGAGGAGGCGUUACUCGCAGAAGAAGAACCGGCUAACUCCGUGCCAGCAGCCGCGGUAAUUC
RNAcentral lists this ribosomal RNA (406 nucleotides) under uncultured bacterium. RNAcentral describes it as "partial 16S ribosomal RNA". It matches the Rfam family "Bacterial small subunit ribosomal RNA", at positions 30 to 526 of the family's 1533-position model. The record is from RNAcentral.